AAUAUUGCACAAUGGAGGGAACUCUGAUGCAGCAACGCCGCGUGAGCGAAGAAGGUUUUCGGAUCGUAAAACUCUGUCUUUGGGGAAGAACAAAUGACGGUACCCACAUAGGAAGCGCCGCCUAACUACGUGCAAGCAGCCGCGGUAAUACGUAGGGGGCGAGCUUUGUCCGGAAUUACUGGGCGUAAAGGGUACGUAGGCGGCUAUAUAAGUCAGGUGUGAAAUACCAGUGCUUAACACUGGAAUUGCAUUUGAAACUGUGUAGCUUGAGUGCAGGAGAGGAAAGUGGAAUUCCUAGUGUAGCGGUGAAAUGCGUAGAUAUAGGAAGGAACACCAGUGGCGAAGGCGACUACCUGGACUGAUACUGACACUGAGGUGCGAAAGCGUGGGGAGCAAACA
This 399-nucleotide ribosomal RNA is filed under the name uncultured bacterium. RNAcentral describes it as "partial 16S ribosomal RNA". It matches the Rfam family "Bacterial small subunit ribosomal RNA", at positions 360 to 774 of the family's 1533-position model. The record is from RNAcentral.